This 468-nucleotide ribosomal RNA is filed under the name uncultured bacterium. RNAcentral's name for it is "bacterial SSU rRNA". It matches the Rfam family "Bacterial small subunit ribosomal RNA", at positions 329 to 795 of the family's 1533-position model. The record is from RNAcentral.
UACCAGACUCCUACGGGAGGCAGCAGUGAGGAAUAUUGGUCAAUGGCCGGAAGGCUGAACCAGCCAUGCCGCGUGAAGGUCAGUGCCCUAUGGGCGUUAAACUUCUUUUGUGCGGGAGCAAUAAUGGUCACGUGUGGCCAGACGAGAGUACCGUACGAAUAAGCAUCGGCUAACUCCGUGCCAGUAGCCGCGGUAAUACGGAGGAUCCGAGCGUUAUCCGGAUUUAUUGGGUUUAAAGGGUGCGUAGGCGGUUUGAUAAGUUAGAGGUGAAAUGUCGGGGCUCAACCCCGAAACUGCCUCUAAUACUGUUGGACUAGAGAAUAGUUGCGGUAGGCGGAAUGUAUGGUGUAGCGGUGAAAUGCUUAGAGAUCAUACAGAACACCGAUUGCGAAGGCAGCUUACCAAACUAUAUCUGACGUUGAGGCACGAAAGCGUGGGUAGCAAACAGGAUUAGAUACCCUGGUAAUC